Trichonephila inaurata madagascariensis is the source of this 73-nucleotide non-coding RNA. The record is from the annotation of a GenBank genome assembly. NCBI's taxonomy places the organism in Eukaryota, Metazoa, Arthropoda, Arachnida, Araneae, Nephilidae.
AUCCCUGUAGCACAAGGGAUAGUGCAUUAUACUUCUAAUCCAAAGGUCGUAGGUUCGAAUCCUACCUGGGAUG